Molecule: transfer RNA, 74 nt
Filed under: Pediococcus acidilactici
Lineage: Bacteria; Bacillati; Bacillota; Bacilli; Lactobacillales; Lactobacillaceae
Description: tRNA-Met
Rfam family: tRNA
About the family: Transfer RNA (tRNA) molecules are approximately 80 nucleotides in length. Their secondary structure includes four short double-helical elements and three loops (D, anti-codon, and T loops).
Source: RNAcentral
GGACCUUUAGCUCAGUUGGUUAGAGCGCCCGGCUCAUAACCGGUAGGUCGUAGGUUCGAGUCCUACAAGGUCCA